UCUUCCUCGCUGGCUAUCUGCGAUAUUCAGUUAAAGUUCUGCUGCUUCAUCUUUUCCGUCAUCUUCUACGUCUUCGUCUGUCAAUCGUGACUGAUAAUUUUCUUGUUCUUUUAUGCAUUUUUUUUCUUUAUGUGUAAGUUGGUUCAAUGCCGUGUGAAGUAUGUUUGAUAUUUAAAAAAUGAGCAUAUUAUGUUGAUUCAGU
RNAcentral lists this long non-coding RNA (202 nucleotides) under Nicotiana benthamiana. RNAcentral describes it as "long non-coding RNA (NBEN_LNC005883)". Lineage: Eukaryota; Viridiplantae; Streptophyta; Magnoliopsida; Solanales; Solanaceae. The record is from RNAcentral.